GAGUGGCGGACGGGUGACUAACACGCGGGCAAUCUGGCCAUCAAAGGGGGAUAACUGUUGGAGAUUGGUGCUAAUACCUCAUAAUUCUUUUUGUCUCCUGACGGAAAGAUAAAAACGCUGUCGGGUGUCACUGAUGGAUGGUGCCGCGCUGCAUUAUAUUAUUGGUGGGGUAACCGAUCACCGCGGCCAUGAUGCAUAGUCGACCUGAGGGGGCGAUAGGCCACACUGGGACUGAGACACGGCCCAGACUCCUACGGGAGGCAGCAGUAGGGAAUCUUCGGCAAUGGACGAAAGUCUGACCGAGCAACGCCGCGUGAGUGAAGAAGGUUUUCGGAUCGUAAAACUCUGUUGUUAGAGAAGAACAAGUGAGAGAGUAACUGUUCUCACCUUGACGGUAUCUAACCAGAAAGCCACGGCUAACUACGUGCCAGCAGCCGCGGUAAUACGUAGGUGGCAAGCGUUGUCCGGAUUUAUUGGGCGUAAAGCGAGCGCAGGCGGUUCCUUAAGUCUGAUGUGAAAGCCCCCGGCUCAACCGGGGAAGGUCAUUGGAAACUGGGGAACUUGAGUGCAGAAGAGGAGAGUGGAAUUUCAUGUGUAGCGGUGAAAUGCGUA
This 612-nucleotide ribosomal RNA is filed under the name Vagococcus sp. T2815. RNAcentral describes it as "bacterial SSU rRNA". It matches the Rfam family "Bacterial small subunit ribosomal RNA", at positions 93 to 692 of the family's 1533-position model. The record is from RNAcentral. Lineage: Bacteria; Bacillati; Bacillota; Bacilli; Lactobacillales; Enterococcaceae.